This 347-nucleotide long non-coding RNA is filed under the name Carica papaya (papaya). Its description in RNAcentral is "long non-coding RNA (CPAP_LNC012917)". The record is from RNAcentral. Lineage: Eukaryota; Viridiplantae; Streptophyta; Magnoliopsida; Brassicales; Caricaceae.
UUUUUGAAAAGGGACAUUACUAGUUUUAAGAAUUACAAUAAACGUUUGGUUAAAGAAAAAAAGGGGUAACGUCUUCGUUUCCGUUUUCAUUCCCGUCAAUUCAAACCCGCAAAAACCCCCAAAUUUCAUUCUUCUUCCCCGCUGCUCCGAAGCACCGGAGCCUCACUUCAUUGUGCUUUUUCAUUUUUUCUUUCCUUUCUACCAGAGCUUCUUCUCUUCAUCCAAACACGGACAGUCACCGCGUCGACUAUUCCGCUAUCACUCACCAUCUCCAACUGAUUCAUCUGUCGAGCUAUCACAUGCCUCCCCCAAAUAACCAUCCGUUAACAAAAUCACAAUCAGNNNNN